Non-coding RNA from Cnephaeus nilssonii (northern bat), 73 nucleotides. NCBI's taxonomy places the organism in Eukaryota, Metazoa, Chordata, Mammalia, Chiroptera, Vespertilionidae. The record is from the annotation of a GenBank genome assembly.
GCCAGUUUGGCUCAGUGGAUAGAGCAUCAGCCCACAGACUGAAGGGUCCCUGGUUUGAUUCCAGUGAAGGGCA